UGUUCAGGAAAAGGAGACUGUAUUUUUCUAUUUAUUUACAAUGGGAAUAGCACAGUUUGGAGGUGAAAAUACAAGUUUUCCUUAUUCUACCAUUGUGCCUCAACCCUGACCUGGAAUAAACACCUCUACGGGUGGGAGAGUAGUUCAUGCUUUAUGCCCAUUUACAGAAUGUGGCACU
This is an unclassified non-coding RNA of Chelonoidis abingdonii (Abingdon island giant tortoise), 178 nucleotides long. The record is from Ensembl. NCBI's taxonomy places the organism in Eukaryota, Metazoa, Chordata, Testudines, Testudinidae.